AUUCCAGCUCCAAUAGCGUAUAUUAAAGCUGUUGCAGUUAAAAAGCUCGUAGUUGGAUCUUGGGCCCAGGCCUGCGGUCCGCCGUGAGGCGAGUACUGCAGUCCUGGCCUUCCUCUCGGUUUUCGCCCGGUGCUCUUAACUGAGUGCCAGGAGAGGCCGGAACGUUUACUUUGAAAAAAUUGGAGUGUUCAAAGCAGGCCUCGCGCCUGAACAGCAGAGCAUGGAAUAAUGGAAUAGGACCUCGGUUCUAUUGCGUUGGUUUUCGGAACUCGAGGUAAUGAUUAAGAGGGACUGACGGGGGCAUUCGUAUUGCGGUGUGAGAGGUGAAAUUCUUGGAUCGCCGCAAGACGACCGACUGCGAAAGCAUUAGCCAAGAAUGUUUUCAUUA
Molecule: ribosomal RNA, 388 nt
Filed under: Echinodermata sp.
Lineage: Eukaryota; Metazoa; Echinodermata
Description: partial small subunit ribosomal RNA
Rfam family: Eukaryotic small subunit ribosomal RNA
Source: RNAcentral